Molecule: non-coding RNA, 21 nt
Filed under: Caenorhabditis elegans
Lineage: Eukaryota; Metazoa; Nematoda; Chromadorea; Rhabditida; Rhabditidae
Source: RNAcentral
UCUUAAUUUAAAAUAAGAAAA